UCCUUCCUCUCUCUCUCCCGUGCGACUCCUCCAUCUUCUUCUUCUUGCUGCUCGACGGAACCGAGCAGACCAGCGGAGUCGAAGAAGUCGCAUGCCUCCGCCGUUCACCGCUGCCGCACGCCGUUCGCGGGCGCCACCCAUCCGCACGCGAGCUGCUUCGCCCCUCCCGUUCUUGCUUCGUCCGCCACCCAGCCGUCGUCCCUCCACCGUCUAGAGCUGCGUCCAGCAUCGCCGGCCGUCGUUCGUUGUCGCAAAGGCCGCCGGAGCCACCGCCUGCAGCUGUCGGGACCAGCUGCUGCCGCCACCGGUCCCCCUUUCGCCCAAGCCAGCGCCGGAACUGACCUUCUUGGCCCCAAAAUCAGAGUUGGAAAAAUGGUAUGGCAGCACCUAUUUGGCCCGUUUUGGCCGGCUUCCCGGCCCCGGAUGCUCGGCCCACCUUGAGAAAAGUCGAUCC
This 454-nucleotide long non-coding RNA is filed under the name Eucalyptus grandis. RNAcentral's name for it is "long non-coding RNA (EGRA_LNC005390)". The record is from RNAcentral. Lineage: Eukaryota; Viridiplantae; Streptophyta; Magnoliopsida; Myrtales; Myrtaceae.